This 68-nucleotide transfer RNA is filed under the name uncultured Treponema sp. It matches the Rfam family "tRNA". Rfam says of the family: Transfer RNA (tRNA) molecules are approximately 80 nucleotides in length. The record is from RNAcentral. Lineage: Bacteria; Pseudomonadati; Spirochaetota; Spirochaetia; Treponematales; Treponemataceae.
GGAUGUAGCGCAGCUGGUAGCGCGCUUGGUUUGGGACCAAGAUGUCGCAGGUUCGAACCCUGUCAUCC